CUGUGUCUCUAGAGAUGGGGGGUGAAGCUGUGUCUCUAGAGAUGGGGGGUGAAGCUGUGUCUCUAGAGAUGGGGGGUGAAGCUGUGUCUCUAGAGAUGGGGGGUGAAGCUAUGUCUCUAGAGAGUACACUAGUAAAAAGCCUUCCUGCCCAUCUCUCUCUCUGACUGGCUGUAACAUGUCAAUCAUUUCAUCUAGAAGCUCUCUGCAAUAAAAACCCUCUCCCUCACGUUAGGACCAAAAUAAAGAGAUGCACACACACCCAUCAAAGAACCCAGCCAGCCAUUAACAAACCAGCCUAGUCAUUUAGCAUCUUUCAAUUCCUAUUAAGAUGUUGCAGUUGCACGGCCUGCCAUUCAGAGAAUUCAGGGAGAUUCUCACAUAUGCAGUCCAAUAUGGACUACAGUGCCCAUAAUGCUACACCCACUAGUGUAGCAUUUAACCUCUGACCCCUAGUUCAGGUACCCAUGACGACACCAUAGCCAUCCAGCCUCUCUCAUACACCCAUUUGAACCUCAGCAGCCAGUUAGUUAGUUUAACCUCUGCAACCGCUAUCUAUCUUCUAUCAAUGGCAUGGCCUUAUAGACUGAGUGUACAAAACAUGAAAUAACAUUACUUAGACUGACCAGGUAUGGCAGUAGGUGCAAGACGCACUGGUUUGUUUGAAGAAUUGGAACGCUGCCAGGGUUUUUCAUGCUCAACAGUUUCCUGUGUGUAUCAAGAAUGGUCCAGCACCCAAACGACAUCCAGCCAAAUUGACACAAUUGUAGGAAGCAUUGGAGUCAAUAUGGGCCAGCAUCCCUGUGGAACGUUUUUGACACCUUGUAGAGUCCAUGGGGGUGCAACUAAGUGUGUAUAUAUAUAUAUAUAGAAGGUGUUCGUAAUGUUUUGUACACUCAGUAUAUGUGCAACUGCCUAUUUCUUCCCCCAGCACAGUUUCCUUCCACACUCUAGUUCCCCCACACACAGUCACGCUGUAUAUUGUUUAGAGACAUAUUAAGUAACAGUGUUCAUGCUCCAGUGGAAAUUGUUGCGUGUUGAGAUUAGUGUGACGUGAACCCAGAGAUUCAACUGUUUAAACACACACACACAGGAAUCCACAUCCGCCCGAUCCUCGAUAUCAGCUUAGCUCAGCAUCACAAUCAAAGCAGUGUGUCAAGUUAGUUGGAGGUGUGAGAGGCCUAGUGGACAGGGUCAGAGGCCUAGUGGACAGGACAGGGUCAGAGGUCUAGUGGACAGGACAGGGUCAGAGGCCUAGUGGACAGGACAGGGUCAGAGGCCUAGUGGACAGGACAGGGUCAGAGGCCUAGUGGACAGGGUCAGAGGCCUAGUGGACAGGACAGGGUCAGAGGCCUAGUGGACAGGGUCAGAGGCCUAGUGGACUGGACAGGGUCAGAGGCCUAGUGGACAGGGUCAGAGGCCUAGUGGACAGGACUGGGUCAGAGGCCUAGUGGACAGGACAGGGUCAGAGGCCUAGUGGACAGGACAGGGUCAGAGGCCUAGUGGACAGGGUCAGAGGCCUAGUGGACAGGACAGGGUCAGAGGCCUAGUGGACAGGGUCAGAGGCCUAGUGGACAGGACAGGGUCAGGGGCCUAGUGGACAGGACAGGGUCAGAGGUCUAGUGGACAGGACAGGGUCAGAGGCCUAGUGGACAGGGUCAGAGGCCUAGUGGACAGGGCGGGGUCAGAGGCCUAGUGGACAGGACAGGGUCAGAGGCCUAGUGGACAGGACAGGGUCAGAGGCCUAGUGGACAGGGUCAGAGGCCUAGUGGACAGGGCGGGGUCAGAGGCCUAGUGGACGGACAGGGUCAGAGGCCUAGUGGGACAGGGUCAGGGGCCUAGUGAGGACAGGGUCAGAGGCCUAGUGGACAGGACAGGGUCAGAGGCCUAGUGGACAGGACAGGGUCAGAGGCCUAGUGGACAGGGUCAGAGGCCUAGUGGACAGGGCAGGGUCAGAGGCCUAGUGGACAGGACAGGCUCAGGGGCCUCGUGGACAGGACAGGGUCAGAGGCCUAGUGGACAGGACAGGGUCAGAGGCCUAGUGGACAGGACAGGGGCCUAGUGUACAGGACAGGGUCAGAGGCCUAGUGGACAGGACAGGGUCAGAGGCCUAGUGAACAGGACAGGGUCAGAGGCCUAGUGGACAGGGUCAGAGGCCUAGUGGACAGGACAGGGUCAGAGGCCUAGUGGACAGGACAGGGUCAGAGGCCUAGUGGACAGGGUCAGGGGCCUAGUGGGACAGGGUCAGAGGCCUAGUGGAAGGACGGGCUAGUGUACAGGACAGGGUCAGAGGCCUAGUGGACAGGACAGGGUCAGAGGCCUAGUGGACAGGGUCAGAGGCCUAGUGGACAGGACAGGGUCAGAGGCCUAGUGGACAGGACAGGGUCAGAGGCCUAGUGGACAGGACAGGGUCAGAGGCCUAGUGGACAGGACAGGGUCAGAGGCCUAGUGGACAGGACAGGGUCAGAGGCCUAGUGGACAGGGCGGGGUCAGAGGCCUAGUGGACAGGACAGGGUCAGAGGCCUAGUGGACAGGGUCAGAGGCCUAGUGGACAGGGUCAGAGGCCUAGUGGACAGGACAGGUAAAUUGUAGAGGACAGGCGUCAAAGUAAGGGUCAUGCAGUAAGGAGAUUUAGUAUAAUGUAUAUUAAGGUAAGGUUGUAUUAAAGUUGUACUACGGUUGUGGGAGGAUAAAAUACAGAUGCAGGGGAGAGCAGAGUUUGUGAAAACUACACAUUGUUAGUCUGCCGUUAUUUUUUAUUUCUAGUUCAGGAAAUCCCAGGUAGUCACCGUUGUUAUCAGGAUAAUGAUUCCUGUUGCCUUUGGAAUCAUACUGUAUGUGCAAUAGUUGUCUUUGUUGAUCAUUUUUCUCUCCAAAGUGUGUGUAGCAUUGUCCGUCUGAUGUUUGUUAGCCAUGUACCGUAUGUCUUUGUUCGUACCCCUUUAAUUUGGUCCUAAAAUAUCUUCAAUCUCAUUAGACUCACGCUAGACUGAUUCAGGAAGGAUUAGUGCAGAGUAGGUGAAUGAAAAUGGAGAUGGACAGAGCGUGUUGUCUGUGUGUGUAGCUGAAACCAGUCAGGAUAUGCAGGCCUGCCGCUAUGUAGAAGUUUGUUUUUGACCUCACUGAAUGGAAUUGUUCGUCAGUCAACGCUCCAGCUAGCAGUUCAUUUGUAGUCAGCCUCUCUAUUUCAACACUGUAAAUUCUACAUUCUGCAGUCCAGGAAAACUAUGUCAGUCCCAAAAAAGUUGUAUAAAAUAAAAAUAUGAAAAGGAGAAAAAAAGGUGGAAGUCAGAAAGAAAGACAGAGACAGGCUCUUGGCUAUGGAGAGGUAUACUGUACUUGGGGUUGCAAAGCUACUGGAAAUUUACCAAAGUUACCGGAAUCUUCAGAAAUGUUGGUAAUUAACAGAAAAUGUAUGUCAAUCUAUCAUAACUUUGGUAAUUUAUAUUGAAUAACUUUUUAAAAAAGGUAUUCAUAUAUAGUAUUAUUUUUUAUAUAUAUAUAUAUAUAUCUGUAUCCAUAUUAUCCAUGAGUUUCUAGUAGAUAGACCGUAUGGUUCAAGGAAAAAAGUUCCUAAUUAAUGAAAAGAGUGUCUAAUCAACAAUGGCAUUAUUUUCAAUUGACUCUGCAACUAGUGACUUUCUUCACAACUGCCCCCAGUUUGACACCAAAACAUUGACAACAAAUAUAUAUUGACAUAGUCUACUAAAUGAAACUGUGUAAAAAACAAAAUGAUGGAUAUUUCAUAUUUUCAUACUGAAACGCCAAUGUUAUUCUCUAAAUUGAUGGUUUAUAUUUAAGAUGAUGUUUUACAGCUUUUUUGUAAUUAUAAUUUUUUAAAAUAUUAUUAUUUAAUAUAUUUCACAUGUGACAAGGCCAGCGAGAGGGCCAGAGAUAAUAACAGACACCUGUGAUAUCUGAAAUACCCCAAAGGGCCACUAGAUGUCUGGUGAUAAAUGACAUAAAAUCCUUGAAAGAUACCAAAAUUCUGGUAGGUUACUGGCAAAAUGUGAAUGUUUCCGGUAAUAUACCCUCCAUUUGCAACCUUAACUGUACUUGCUUGGCAAGACCUUCUUGGGAUGCUUGUGGUGUAGUGUGUGGUGAGAGGUGGUAUGAUGGUAGUACUAUGAUGUCAGUAGUAGAGAUGUGUAGUGAGACAUGGUAUGAUGGUAGUACUAUGAUAGGUAGUAGAGAUGUGUAGUGAGACAUGGUAUGAUGGUAGUACUAUGAUAGGUAGUAGUAGAGAUGUGUAGUGAGAGAUGGUAUGAUGGUAGUACUAUGAUGUCAGUAGUAGAGAUGUGUAGUGAGACAUGGUAUGAUGGUAGUACUAUGAUAGGUCAGUAGUAGAGAUGUGUAGUGAGACAUGGUAUGAUGGUAGUACUAUGAUAGGUAGUAGUAGAGAUGUGUAGUGAGACAUGGUAUGAUGGUAGUACUAUGAUGUCAGUAGUAGAGAUGUGUAGUGAGAGGUGGUAUGAUGGUAGUACUAUGAUAGGUAGUAGAGAUGUGUAGUGAGACAUGGUAUGAUGGUAGUACUAUGAUAGGUAGUAGAGAUGUGUAGUGAGACAUGGUAUGAUGGUAGUACUAUGAUAGGUAGUAGAGAUGUGUAGUGAGACGUGGUAUGAUGGUAGUACUAUGAUAGGUCAGGUGGAUUUAUGCUGUUUAUAAAGCCUCUGCUGAAAUAAGGAACUUGACUGUUUCAGAAGGAAGAUAGGAUGUUAUGUUCUGGUGCUCUGGCCUGGCCUCAGCCCAGUUUAAACUGUCUGGUGUGUUGAUAGACAUGUUUGACAAAAAGCAUAGUUACAUAGAUAUAUGUGUGUGUGUAUACUUAUCUUGUUUAAACUUGAGAUGAGGUUGUCCCCACCAGCCUUUUGUAAUUAUGUUGUUUUGUUUCUGUGUGUGUGUGUGUGUGUGUGUGUGUGUGUGUGUGUGUGUGUGUGUGUGUGUGUGUGUGUGUGUGUGUGUGUGUGUGUGUGUGUGUGUGUGUGUGUGUGUGUGUGUGUGUGUGUGUGUGUGUGUGUGUGUGUGUGUGUGUGUGUGUGUGUGUGUGGUGUUCUCUCCUAUGGACUCUGAUCACUAGCCCUAACACUCAUAAGGUCCAGAGAGAAAAGACAGAUAACAGUCAUUAUUACCUUCUGUAUUAGUGGGGACCACUUUUGUAAAACCAACCAAUAAAGAUGCACAUAGUCGACUAACGGCGUAGACUUGGUACUGUUUCCAGCACUUUCUAAACCCAGAGGAACGGAUCUGGUCUAAACCCUCAUCUCAGACCAAGGCCUUUCCCAGAGGUAUAACAUUCAUUCAAUUCAGACAGAAUGAAAGAGAGAGAGAGAGAGAGAGAGAGAGAGAAAGAAGGAGAGGAUAAGAGAUGGGAGAGACUGUUCAGAUUCAUUUCUUUGCACACGGCCUGGUUGAAAAACCGUAGUGUUUCCACUCUUUCAUUUCGCCUACCGUCCGACACGUUCUUGGGUCCAACGUGUUGAGACGCGAGGCGGUUUCUUGGUCCCGUGUUUCUAAACAGAAGGGCCUUUUUCAUGGACACACACCCACUUUUCUGUGUUCAAUUUGGUCCUAUAGUAUAAAAGACCUUUGGUUUCUUUAUUAAUUUACCUUUUUCAGAAUAGAUGGGUUAGCUGACAACGUCAUGAAAACUACGGGCAUGCUUCAAAGGGGCACAAGUCCAUGUGUUGUGGUUCUGGGUGGGCAGAUAGCACCAAGACAAGAAGCUGCCAUGUGGGGAAUCGUAGGUGGCUCGUUUCAGCUAGUGUCAUCUUGUUCUUGAUACCAUGUCUUGUUUUGACUGAUGUCACAUCAAUGCUAAUAUGGCAAAAAUUCACUAGCUAGCUAACCAACAACUGUAACGAUGUAUUUGAGAGACAACAAGUGCUCAUUGUGCAAAUAUAUUUGAGUUUUCAAAAAACAAUAGGGACGAAAUAUAGUUUACAUGUUAUCAACCAUGUAAGCCAACCCCGUUUUGCCCCAUAGUUGCGCACACGUGCGUUUUGUUGCUAAACAACCAACCCGUCUAUAGGACCUUUUCCGGUUUCCACUACUUACCACAGCCACAAAGUAAGAAUUGGCUAUAUGGUUAAAAUGCAUGUAAACCCAAAUCAGCUUUUUGUUCUUACUUUAAGGUUAGGCAUAAGGUUAGCAGUGUGAUUAGGGUUAGGUUUAAAAUCCCAUUUUAAGAAGAGAAUUUGUUGAAAUAGGUGGGGUUUAUGACUUUGUGACUGUGGUACCAAGUGACAACCACCUUUUCCUUGUGUUGGUCUCCUUUGUAGCACUCGAGACGUGAUUGGACGUCUGUUUAGGGAAUGUGUCAUGUGACUUUCUGACAAGCCUCCUCAUUGGAGGAGCACACCCAGCUGACCUUGUCUGUUUUUAUUGGCUUAUUUACUUACUUCUUGCACAAAUAACUAAUAAUAUGAAUGUUGGUAUGAGCUUCAGCGUUUCAAAAUGAAAAGUAAUGUGUUGUUGUUUUUAUUGUUUAUCGCCAUGUUGUUGUUUUACUUUUGUUUCUUUCUUGGCAAAAAGAUUUUGGCACCUUUUUGGUUUUAAAAUGAACAGAAUUCAAUCAGGAUUCCUUUGUUAAAACUUGACUGUUGUUUGACGUCUUGUCAAUAAAUGUCCGUACCGCUGGAUAACCAACUCAGGCAGAGAAAACGUAAACACGUCCACAACCCCAAUGGUUAAGUUUCACCUCGAUUUAAUGUGGAUGGGCUGUUCGAUAUGGAUUAUUACUAUUUUGAAUGAUUAUAUUUAUAUAAUAAAUAUAUAAAUAUAAUGUAUUGUAUGGAUUAUUGUUCUGAUAUUUUUACAUGCUGGAAAUGGCUGCAUGCUCUCAAUGUGGAGGUUCAGUAAGGAUAAACGGGUUGUCCUGGUCCUGCAGUGAAGUAGCAUCAUCUAUCUUUAUCCCACUCUAUCUCCAAUGACCAGUUGACAGACAAACAUACAGUCACUCACUCUGACCUCUCACCUUUGACCCCUACACACUGAAUGCCAGGGAUGGGUCUUCUGUCAGCUGGGGUUCAUUAAAUGUUGUCUGUCUACUGGUCACAACACACAGCCUAGUGGUUAAAGACACGCCUGGGAGU
RNAcentral lists this long non-coding RNA (7088 nucleotides) under Salmo salar (Atlantic salmon). RNAcentral describes it as "lncRNA (ENSSSAG00000088348.1)". Lineage: Eukaryota; Metazoa; Chordata; Actinopteri; Salmoniformes; Salmonidae. The record is from RNAcentral.